RNAcentral lists this long non-coding RNA (228 nucleotides) under Brassica napus (rape). RNAcentral's name for it is "long non-coding RNA (BNAP_LNC002364)". Lineage: Eukaryota; Viridiplantae; Streptophyta; Magnoliopsida; Brassicales; Brassicaceae. The record is from RNAcentral.
GAUUAUAUUAGAAUACGAAACUUAUCAUUAUCUAUAUUUCAAUAUUCCAUAUUAGUGUAGGAAUUAGGUUUAGUCAUCAUCUCUAUAUAAGCAUAUGCAAUUCAAUUAUACUUCUUCCAAUUCUAUACUCUCAUCAAUCUUUUUCAUAGUAUCAGAGCAGAAGAUUCUUUGACCUAUUUUUUUUUCUUUUCUCUCUUCAAUAUCUACUACUACAUCACCGUGCUCCUG